This 229-nucleotide ribosomal RNA is filed under the name uncultured bacterium. RNAcentral's name for it is "partial 16S ribosomal RNA". It matches the Rfam family "Bacterial small subunit ribosomal RNA", at positions 568 to 796 of the family's 1533-position model. The record is from RNAcentral.
UGCGUAGGCGGAAUGAUAAGUUAGUGGUGAAAGCCCCCGACUCAACCGGGGAACUGCCAUUAAUACUGUCAUUCUUGAGUAUAGUUGAAGUGGGCGGAAUGUAUCAUGUAGCGGUGAAAUGCUUAGAUAUGAUACAGAACACCGAUAGCGUAGGCAGCUUGCUAAACUAUAACUGACGCUCAGGCACGAAAGCGUGGGGAGCAAACAGGAUUAGAUACCCUGGUAGUCC